UACGGGGGGGGCAAGCGUUGUCCGGAUUUAUUGGGCGUAAAGAGCUCGUAGGCGGCUUGUCGCGUCGACUGUGAAAUCCCGCGGCUCAACUGCGGGUCUGCAGUCGAUACGGGCAGGCUAGAGUUCGGUAGGGGAGACUGGAAUUCCUGGUGUAGCGGUGAAAUGCGGAGAUAUCAGGAGGAACACCGGUGGCGAAGGCGGGUCUCUGGGCCGAUACUGACGCUGAGGAGCGAAAGCGUGGGGAGCGAACAGG
This 253-nucleotide ribosomal RNA is filed under the name uncultured bacterium. RNAcentral describes it as "partial 16S ribosomal RNA". It matches the Rfam family "Bacterial small subunit ribosomal RNA", at positions 524 to 776 of the family's 1533-position model. The record is from RNAcentral.